Molecule: ribosomal RNA, 492 nt
Filed under: uncultured bacterium
Lineage: Bacteria
Description: partial 16S ribosomal RNA
Rfam family: Bacterial small subunit ribosomal RNA
Source: RNAcentral
AGUGAACGCUGGCGGUAGGCCUAACACAUGCAAGUCGAACGGCAGCACAGUAAGAGCUUGCUCUUACGGGUGGCGAGUGGCGGACGGGUGAGGAAUACAUCGGAAUCUACUUUUUCGUGGGGGAUAACGUAGGGAAACUUACGCUAAUACCGCAUACGACCUACGGGUGAAAGCAGGGGAUCUUCGGACCUUGCGCGAUUGAAUGAGCCGAUGUCGGAUUAGCUAGUUGGCGGGGUAAAGGCCCACCAAGGCGACGAUCCGUAGCUGGUCUGAGAGGAUGAUCAGCCUCACUGGAACUGAGACACGGUCCAGACUCCUACGGGAGGCAGCAGUGGGGAAUAUUGGACAAUGGGCGCAAGCCUGAUCCAGCCACACCGCGUGGGUGAAGAAGGCCUUCGGGUUGUAAAGCCCUUUUGUUGGGAAAGAAAAGCAGCAGGUUAAUACCCCGCUGUUCUGACGGUACCCAAAGAAUAAGCACCGGCUAACUUCGUG